CUCCCAAAGUGUUGGGAUUACAGGUGUGAGCCAGUGUGCCCAGCCCCUUAAAUUCUUUACAUAAAACUCUUUCACAUAUACCAUCUAUUUCUUGCUGGGACCCUGACUGAAACAAUAUUUAACUAUAUUUUCAUCUAGCUUCUUCUAGGAAAGCACUCUGAAGCCAAGUUGAAACAUUAUACUCUCAGGCAGUAGUAGAGAUCAACCUCUUAAAACCAAAUCCAUGGGCCCAGGAGUAUGGAAAAGAGUUCAAUAAAAUGGCCUUAACUGGUAUAAGAAGUUACAAUUGUUAAAAGGAGAUUCAGCUGUGAUAGCAAAAGAGAAAGAAAAUGAAAAAGUUGUCCUGGCUCAUCUCUGGAAAGACAUGAUAUUUCAUAACCUCAAGGUGUUUGCUUCUGACCUAUAACUUCAAUUAUAGACCAGGUUAUCCAAAAGUUCUCCUUAUUAACAAGGUAUCUGUUUUUACCAGGUGUCUGUUAUUAAUUAGUUAGUAUAUAAUUUAAUGCAAUUAACCAAAGCACCUCUUAUGCCUAGAACAUAGCAGGUGGUUUACUUCUUUCUUAUGACAUAUUCAAGACUCAUGGUUUUCCCAUUUUUAGAGUCAAAAACAUAAAUUCCUCCUUUUGCUUUCCUGCGCUAACAUAUCCACCUCACACACCUGUUUACUCUUUGUUUGCAGGGAAAUGUGUACAUCUGCUAGGGCGUGAUCUCGAUGAUGAGGUGACAUAUGGGAUGUCAUUCCAUUAUUUAAAGAACAAAUUCCAAAGAUCAAACUUUUCUCCCCACACUUGUGAGUGAUACAUGGGUCUUCUCAGGGACAUUAAAAUGGAGCUAGUCUCACUGAUUUCAUGGACAUUUAGCAUACAAUUAUUGAGUUACCUGCUGAAAUCUCUUCAUACAUAUCUGGUUUCACCCUAGGUUAUGAAUAUCCAUGCAGACUAUUUUUCCAAGCUUCUACGCAACUAACCUUGGCACUUACCCCCAGCUCAGGCAGCAAGCAAAUUAUUCUGGCUUGAUGUCCAUCUGAUGGUUUACUCUUGCUACCUCCUACUCCCUACUAUAACCACAAAUGACCUCCUCCCCACUUGCUCUCAUUCUUACCAGAAGUUUUCAGUUAACAGCUCACUACUAAGCCAGUUUCCUUCUUAAAGUAUAUAUAUCCUUUUAAAAUUUCCAGUCUUGUUACUCUCUCUCUUCCUCUUCAAUUUCUUGUCCUGUUGUCACAAGAUCUCUUCUUAGCUCACCAAAUUAUCUUCUCUUCCCUUUCUCUUUUAUUCCAUUUAUGAACAAGACACCAACUUCUACCACAACAACAGAACAAAACAACCCCUAGCUUCAAAGAGAACAAAAAAACCCCAAAAUAAAUUAAAAAUGGCUUUAAUGCUUAGAGUUGCAGGGACAAGAAAAACCACAUUCUUUUAAAAUGAAAUUAGAUGUCAUAAAGGACUAUGAACUAGUAAGAGUUCCCCGAAGUCCCCUUCCGAAUCUCACAAAAGACUCCAUCUCCUUCUUCAUCUGGCUUUUUGUUAAUAACCAAUGUCCAAUAUAAAUAGAAACAUUGCUUUGUUUUGA
Molecule: long non-coding RNA, 1572 nt
Filed under: Homo sapiens (human)
Lineage: Eukaryota; Metazoa; Chordata; Mammalia; Primates; Hominidae
Description: HSALNT0359132
Source: RNAcentral